AGCAGGAAAUUAGCCCUGGUGGGCUUGCAAGUCUCAUAAGCUUGCGGUGGUGAGUUCGAUUCUCACUCCUGCUA
This 74-nucleotide transfer RNA is filed under the name Caudoviricetes sp. RNAcentral describes it as "tRNA-Met". It matches the Rfam family "tRNA". From Rfam's summary of the family: Transfer RNA (tRNA) molecules are approximately 80 nucleotides in length. Their secondary structure includes four short double-helical elements and three loops (D, anti-codon, and T loops). Lineage: Duplodnaviria; Heunggongvirae; Uroviricota; Caudoviricetes. The record is from RNAcentral.